ACUCCUACGGGAGGCAGCAGUGGGGAAUAUUGCACAAUGGGCGAAAGCCUGAUGCAGCGACGCCGCGUGAGGGAUGACGGCCUUCGGGUUGUAAACCUCUUUCAGCAGGGAAGAAGCGAAAGUGACGGUACCUGCAGAAGAAGCGCCGGCUAACUACGUGCCAGCAGCCGCGGUAAUACGUAGGGCGCAAGCGUUGUCCGGAAUUAUUGGGCGUAAAGAGCUCGUAGGCGGCUUGUCACGUCGGUUGWGAAAGCCCGGGGCUUAACCCCGGGUCUGCASUCSAUACGGGCAGGCUASAUUGUGGURGGGGAAAUCGGANUUCCAGGC
Molecule: ribosomal RNA, 327 nt
Filed under: Streptomyces sp.
Lineage: Bacteria; Bacillati; Actinomycetota; Actinomycetes; Kitasatosporales; Streptomycetaceae
Description: bacterial SSU rRNA
Source: RNAcentral